Molecule: ribosomal RNA, 430 nt
Filed under: Pseudomonadota bacterium
Lineage: Bacteria; Pseudomonadati; Pseudomonadota
Description: Proteobacteria bacterium partial 16S ribosomal RNA
Rfam family: Bacterial small subunit ribosomal RNA
Source: RNAcentral
UGGGGAAUAUUGGACAAUGGGGGGAACCCUGAUCCAGCCAUGCCGCGUGUGUGACGAAGGCCUUAUGGUUGUAAAGCACUUUAAGCGAGGAGGAGGGUACUGGUAUUAAUACUACCAGGUACUGGACGUUACUCGCAGAAUAAGCACAGGCUAACUCUGUGCCAGCAGCCGCGGUAAUACAGAGGGUGCGAGCGUUAAUCGGAUUUACUGGGCGUAAAGCGUGCGUAGGCGGCUAAUUGAGUCGGAUGUGAAAUCCCCGAGCUUAACUUGGGAAUUGCAUUCGAUACUGGUUAGCUAGAGUGUGGGAGAGGAUGGUAGAAUUCCAGGUGUAGCGGUGAAAUGCGUAGAGAUCUGGAGGAAUACCGAUGGCGAAGGCAGCCAUCUGGCCUAACACUGACGCUGAGGUACGAAAGCAUGGGGAGCAAACAGG